UCAAAUGUAAAAAAAAACAAAUCCAAGGGAAGUAACAAGCUUUAAAGGGAGAUAAUUUCUAUUUAUCAUUUGGCAGAUACAGAUCAUUUUUACAAGGGAAGUAAUAUUUUUUAAAGGGAUAUAAUCAAAAACAAAAAUAAAUAAAUCAAAGCGGCGCAGUAGGGGGCAUUGUGUUUCUGACAAUCACAUCUCUUGUUUUAAGUUAAGUUUUUUUAUGGGAAUGAUUAUAUUCUUCAUUCCGCUAGUGCUGGGAGAUCAAUAUGAAUAAUGUCCUUACUUUGUUGCUUAAAUGGUGUUUAAACUGAUGCGUUACUAAUAUUUGACAAUACAUAUGAUCUGGUGAAAAUACUUUAAAUAAUGAUUAUGCUUUAAUUAAAUAAUUCUUUAUUUCCUUAGAUAAAGUUUUUAAGAUCGCAAUGCUUCCUGAUAGACAGUUCACUGGUAAGAAGUCACCUGACACGGUUUGACUGGCAUGCGUAUUUUUUAAAUGUUUUUGAUUUAACAGUGUUUAAUACCAACUGCUUGUAUUAAUCUUCACCAAAAUUGAAAUUGUUUUUCAAAAUUUAUUUGAAACAUUAAAGUGACUUUUUACCAAUAUCUCUUGUUAUCAAAGUGUUUGAUGCAAGCAUGUCAGCUAGGAAUAAUUCAUUGAAGUUCACAGUUUGAUGGAUAAAAAAUUCAACAACAAAAACAUUGUUUUAUUCAUUUAUUGCACAAUUAAUUUGUUAACAAAAAUGUUGCUUUGAUUAUGUGUAACAUAUAUCAUACACAAGAUUUACAAGUACGGUAUUUAUUUCAGGAUCUUAUCUUAAUACGUUUUAUGAAACGAUUUCAAGGUGUUAAUAUGGAACAACUUUCAUGUUUGUUUAAAAAAAUAUUCAUGAAUGCUUGAUUGACGUUUUAAGAUUAAUUUUGUGUAAUUGCCUGAAAUGACAGUUUACAAUAUGAACCACACAACAGUACUAAAAAUUAAAACAAUAAAAAACAAACAUCCCAUACAAUAUGGUUAGGAUUAAGUAAAAUUUAAGUAAAAGAAACAAUAAAAUACAGAAAGAAACUAUUACACAAAAUUACACUAGGCAAAUAUUAUAAUGCACUGCAGAAUAAAUCAUCUAUUACAGUACUGAUACAUGUAUAUAUUUAUGAUGUAUCUCCCUAACACACAGUAAACUCGAUGAUUGAUUAAUUGUUUUCUUAUUCAUGUACUUGUUCAUGAGAGUUUUAAAUGUUUUAUUCAGUCUGUAUAGGCAUAAUGUAUACAUAUUAUACAAUAUUGUUUUGUUUCAAGUUAUGGUGUCUUUCAUUUGAUUUUGUUUUUUGUUUAUAACAGCAUAAAAUAUUGCCAUGUUUUCAAUAGUUUACAGUUCCAUUCACUUGAGAAUACAAGUCAAUACAUACCCAGCUGAGUAUUCCUGUGGCCUGGGCCAGUAUUCACAAAGAUCAUAUGGUACAUCUAUAGUUGUACUUUAGUGACAACAAUCAACAUUUGGUCAGAUUAUUAUUUUAAGAACCAUACUUAAAAUUUAAAGAGCUUGGUAAAAGAAGUAAUAUAAAAUUAUUAUAAAUAAAUAUGAGAAAAUACAUUUGAAGAAAUCUGAUUUCUAAAUAUUAAAUAUAUUAUAUUUGUAAUACAAAUUCAACCAUUUUGGCAAAGCAAAUCUAAUAGUACAUAUUGAGAAGUCAAAAUAUACAUACUUGCAACUACAAAAAAGAACAAUUAGAAAAAAACAUGAUAUUUGUAAAUUUUCAUGUGUUUACAACUUUGUGAAACAAUAUACUCUUCUCAUUAGACAAGCAAAGUUACCAUAAAUAAGGUCAGAAAUAAUACAGCCAGAUUCGCUCAAGCAAACCCAAGCCUUAAGCCCAUGGAAAUCAAAAAUGAAAUGUGACAAACUUUCUUUUUUGUAAAUUUUUCAAUGGUGCAUAAGUUUCAAAAUCUGAAUAUUCGUAAUUUUGGUGUUAACUCAAGGACAAAAUAAGAUACUUUGUUCACAAGUUUAGAAUUAUUCAACGUUCAAUUCGUGAAAUAGCCUGUUUCCAUAUAUUGGACAAUUUAAGAUUAACAUUCAAAUUUUGCGCUGAAAGAACAUAAUUAUAACUUUGAGUUUUAUGUCUUUACUAUAAAAUAAAGGCAGAAUUAUUUACAUAUCACAUAUCUCCUUAGUAACAGGUCACUGCUAGGAUGGUGCCCUAGGAACCCUCGAUUGUUCACAGGUCACUGCUAGGAUGGUGCCCUAGGAACCCUCGAUUGUUCACAGGUCACUGCUAGGAUGGUGCCCUAGGAACCCUCGAUUGUUCAUAUCUUAGUAACAGGUCACUGCUAGGAUGGUGCCCUAGGAACCCUCGAUUGUUCACAGGUCACUGCUAGGAUGGUGCCCUAGGAACCCUCGAUUGUUCACAGGUCACUGCUAGGAUGGUGCCCUAGGAACCCUCGAUUGUUCAUAUCUUAGUAACAGGUCACUGCUAGGAUGGUGCCCUAGGAACCCUCGAUUGUUCACAGGUCACUGCUAGGAUGGUGCCCUAGGAACCCUCGAUUGUUCAUAUCUUUUCUAUCAAUCUGUUCAGCCAUCCUUUUGGUGGGAAAACAUUAAAUGUGUGUUAGAAUCAAAUUAUCUAUAUUACAAAACAAUUUUAUUGAAAAUUAAGUGAUUUCAACAAUUUAACAAUGUGUACUCAUAUGAACUUUAUUAUAAGGUCAAUGUUUAAUAACUACUUUUUCUAAGUUAAAAGCUCUCUAUGUCAUGCCACCAGCACAAAGGACCACAAUGGAAAUAAGAGUCGCUCUUUUUUGUGUAAUCCUUGGUGUUUGGUGUGCAUGUCAUGGCUUAUUUAUUCUCAUGUGUUCUACUAUUCUGUAUUAUACAUGUUGUUUUAAAUGUCCAUGUAUGUGUAUUCCAUACCGAAAUCAAUCAAUCAAUCAAUCAAU
Molecule: long non-coding RNA, 2926 nt
Organism: Dreissena polymorpha
Lineage: Eukaryota; Metazoa; Mollusca; Bivalvia; Myida; Dreissenidae
Exons: 3
Source: RefSeq, a predicted model, not a curated record